UACGUAGGGACCGAGCGUUGUCCGGAUUCAUUGGGCGUAAAGGGCUCGUAGGCGGCUGCUCAAGUCGAAUGUGAAAACUCGAGGCUCAACCUCGAGCCUGCAUUCGAUACUGGGCGGCUAGAGUCUGGUAGGGGGAUCUGGAAUUCCUGGUGUAGCGGUGGAAUGCGCAGAUAUCAGGAGGAACACCGGUGGCGAAGGCGGGUCUCUGGGCCGAUACUGACGCUGAGGAGCGAAAGCGUGGGGAGCGAACAGG
This 253-nucleotide ribosomal RNA is filed under the name uncultured bacterium. RNAcentral's name for it is "partial 16S ribosomal RNA". It matches the Rfam family "Bacterial small subunit ribosomal RNA", at positions 524 to 776 of the family's 1533-position model. The record is from RNAcentral.